GAAAAACAAGCAACCCCUGAAAAAAUCUACCUGUUUGAUGAGAGGACUAACAGAGUGCAGAAUACCUAUUCUGAUCUACACAAUUAAUGUCCGAAUGACAAAACAAUGUAAUCAAUGCCUCCAUCUGCCAUUUUCAAGGUCGUCAUCAAAGAUUGGUCGGGUCUCAUGGGCACUGUGUUCUGAUACGGCAAUGCUAUGUUCAGAUUGAACAUACAUACUGUCAGCUACAGGUUGUCUAAUAGUAAGACGGCCUGGAUUAUUCGACGUAGAUUGUGAACCAGUUCGCUGUUCUGCCAGCCUUU
This 302-nucleotide unclassified non-coding RNA is filed under the name Hevea brasiliensis (rubber tree). The record is from RNAcentral. Lineage: Eukaryota; Viridiplantae; Streptophyta; Magnoliopsida; Malpighiales; Euphorbiaceae.